RNAcentral lists this ribosomal RNA (425 nucleotides) under uncultured prokaryote. RNAcentral describes it as "bacterial SSU rRNA". It matches the Rfam family "Bacterial small subunit ribosomal RNA", at positions 355 to 796 of the family's 1533-position model. The record is from RNAcentral.
UGGGGAAUUUUCCGCAAUGGGCGAAAGCCUGACGGAGCAAUACCGCGUGAGGGAAGAAUGCCUGUGGGUUGUAAACCUCUUUUUUAGGGAAGAAAAUAUGGCGGUACCUAAAGAAUAAGCAUCGGCUAACUCCGUGCCAGCAGCCGCGGUAAUACGGGGGAUGCGAGCGUUAUCCGGAAUCACUGGGCGUAAAGAGUCUGUAGGUUGUCUGGUAAGUCUGCUGUUAAAUAUUAAAGCUUAACUUUGAACAAGCAGUAGAAACUACCAGACUAGAGUAUGGUAGGGGUAGAGGGAAUUCCCAGUGUAGCGGUGAAAUGCGUAGAUAUUGGGAAGAACACCAGUGGCGAAAGCGCUCUACUGGGCCAUUACUGACACUCAGAGACGAAAGCUAAGGUAGCGAAUGGGAUUAGAUACCCCCGUAGUCC